Molecule: ribosomal RNA, 272 nt
Filed under: Sutcliffiella horikoshii
Lineage: Bacteria; Bacillati; Bacillota; Bacilli; Caryophanales; Bacillaceae
Description: Bacillus horikoshii partial 23S ribosomal RNA
Rfam family: Bacterial large subunit ribosomal RNA
Source: RNAcentral
AGGAAAUUUGAGAGGAGCUGUCCUUAGUACGAGAGGACCGGGAUGGACGCACCGCUGGUGUACCAGUUGUCUUGCCAAAGGCAUAGCUGGGUAGCUACGUGCGGACGGGAUAAGUGCUGAAAGCAUCUAAGCAUGAAGCCCCCCUCAAGAUGAGAUUUCCUUUUGCUUCGGCAAGUAAGAUCCCUGAAAGAUGAUCAGGUAGAUAGGUUCGAGGUGGAAGCGUGGCGACACGUGCAGCUGACGAAUACUAAUCGAUCGAGGACUUAACCCAA